UGUACAAGCAGUGAGUGGAGAUGCAGCACUGUGAUUACUUCGACUACUGGGGUCGUGGGACUAAAGUCACAGUAUCUACAGGAACACCCACACCACCAACACCACCCACUCUGUUCCCUUUGGUUCAGUGCCAACCUGGGUCUGGAGAUAAAAUCACUGUUGGUUGUUUUGCACGUGACUUCUACCCAAAGAGUCUUACAUUCCAGUGGACCGAUGCCAGUGGGAGAACCCUGACUUCUGAAAAUUAUCCUCCAGCAGAGAAAAACAACAAAUAUACAGGAGUCAGUUUGGUCAAAGUAUCAAAAUCUGACUGGGAUUCAAGGAAGUCUUUUAAAUGUUCUGUAAAUCACAACGGAUCUCCCAAAAAUCUGCUAGUGCAAAAGCCUAUUCCUCCAAAAGUGACUUUGCUAUCAGUGCCAAGUGAAGGCACCCAGGCCCUGGUGUGCACGCUUGAGGGCGGUAAUGGAAAACUUGAUUCAUUCAAGUGGAAAAAGAAUACCGCAGAGUUGAACAACUACAUUCAAAGUCCCAUCCAAAGAACUGGAGACUUAUAUUCAGCUGUCAGUGUCCUGAAGGUCAACAACGCAGACUGGGACAGUAACGCUGUGUAUACCUGUGAGGUGACUUACAGAGGAACACAAUAUAAAAAGAAGGCCUCAAAAGGUUCUUCCACAGUGACACUGAACCAACCCAGUGCCAAAGGAAUUUUUAACAACAAACAGGCAGAGUUGGAGUGUAUCAUUACUGGACAGGACAAGACCUUUUUAAAUACAAUUCAAAUCACUUGGCAAAUUGAUGGACUAGAUGUGACAAGCAACAUUAAUGAAUCACCUGUCAAGUCUGUAGGCAUUCAGCACAGCAAAACCAGCACGAUGACUCGUAGUCUGUCUGAGUGGCAGAGAGUCAACAAAGUGCGCUGUUCUGCCAUUAGAGACGAUAUGACUCCAGUUAUUCAGGAUCUGACUGUCCACAAAGGAGAUGGGAGUGAGCCAAACGUGACAGUCCAUGUCCUCCCAGAGGAGGACAUCAGCAAAGGAGCUGAGGUCUCUCUGGUGUGUCUGGUCUCUGGUCCUGUGCUGCAGGAUUACUACAUCGCCUGGUCAGAGGGCACUGAAAAUAAGGCCGGCAUCUAUAUGGAUGGCAUCAACUUCCCCCCACAGAAGACCCAACAAGGCUACUUAGUUACAAGUAUUUACACCACCACCAAGGAAAAGUGGGACAAGCACAACAUGUUCUACUGCAACGUUUGGCCUGCUGGUAGAAGUGUGUCUGUGAAACCCAAAGGAGUGUCUAAGGCCCAGGCUCCUGUCACAGUGACACUGAACCAACCCAGUGCCAAAGGAAUUUUUAACAACAAACAGGCAGAGUUGGAGUGUAUCAUUACUGGACAGGACAAGACCUUUUUAAAUACAAUUCAAAUCACUUGGCAAAUUGAUGGACUAGAUGUGACCAACGACAUUAAUGAAUCAACUGUCAAGUCUGUAGGCGUUCAGCACAGCAAAACCAGCACGAUGACUCGUAGUCUGUCUGAGUGGCAGAGAGUCAACAAAGUGCGCUGUUCUGCCAUUAAAGACGAUAUGACUCCAGUUAUUCAGGAUCUGACUGUCCACAAAGGAGAUGGGAGUGAGCCAAAAGUGACAGUCUAUGCCCUCCCAGAGGAGGACAUCAGCAAAGGAGCUGUGGUCUCUCUGGUGUGUCUGGUCUCUGGUCCUGUGCUGCAGGAUUACUACAUCGCCUGGUCAGAAGGUUCUGGAAAUAAGGCCGGCAUCUAUAUGGAUGGCAUUAACUUCCCCCCACAGAAGACCCAACAUGGCUACUUAGUUACAAGUAUUUACACCACCACCAAGGAAAAGUGGGACAAGCACAGCAUGUUCUACUGCAACGUCUGGCCUGCUGGUAGAAGUGUGUCUGUGAAACCCAAAGGAGUGUCUAAGGCCCAGGCUCCUGUCACAGUGACACUGAACCAACCCAGUGCCAAAGAAAUUUUCAGCAACAACAAAAUAAAGUUGGAGUGUAUCAUUACUGGACAGGACGAGACCAUUGUAAAUGAAAUUCAAGUCACUUGGCAAAUUGAUGGACAAAAUGUGACCAGCAACAUUGCUGAAUCAAUAUUGUCCAGCGGCGUUCAGCACAGCAAAACCAGCACGAUGACUCGUAGUCUGUCUGAGUGGCAGAGAGUCAACAAAGUGCGCUGUUCUGCCAUUAAAGACGAUAUGACUCCAGUUAUUCAGGAUCUGACUGUCCACAAAGGAGAUGGGAGUGAGCCAAACGUGACAGUCCAUGCCCUCCCAGAGGAGGACAUCAGCAAAGGAGCUGUGGUCUCUCUGGUGUGUCUGGUCUCUGGUCCUGUGCUGCAGGAUUACUACAUCGCCUGGUCAGAGGGCACUGAAAAUAAAACUAGCAACUAUAAGGAUGGCAUUAACUUCCCCCCACAGAAGACCCAACAAGGCUACUUAGUUACAAGUGUUUACACCACCACCAAGGAAAAGUGGGGCAACCACAGCAUGUUCAACUGCAACGUCUGGCCUGCUGGUAGAAAUAAGGCCAUGGAACCCAAAGCAGUGUCUAAGGACCAUGAUUCUCCUUCAGAGUCAAAACAGAGUUGGGGUCUGAGCUGCAUAGAGGAUGCCAUUGAAGAGGAUGAGUUCAGCAGUCUGUGGUCCACAACCUCCUCCUUCAUAUUCCUCUUCAUAUCCUCUCUCUUCUAUAGCAUGAUAUUCAGCCUGGUCAAGAUGAAGACAAGAUAAAGGAUGAGAUGGAGGCUCAGCAUAGACGACUAGAGGUCUUCAUUUGUAAUUUGUCUUUUUUAUCUAGUUUUAAAAACUUGUACAUUAUUGAUAAUCUCUUGUACAGUUGCUAAAUGAAGUAGACAUCAUAUAUAAUAAUAGCCUAUAUAUUAAAAAUAGUUCUCUGUAGAAAAAUAAAAAAUACAACUGCAAUUCUUUGUUUAUGUGAAUAAAUUUGGU
This is a non-coding RNA of Micropterus dolomieu (smallmouth bass), 2966 nucleotides long. The record is from the annotation of a RefSeq genome assembly. NCBI's taxonomy places the organism in Eukaryota, Metazoa, Chordata, Actinopteri, Centrarchiformes, Centrarchidae.